CAGUAGCCGCGGUAAUACGGAGGGGGCUAGCGUUGUUCGGAAUUACUGGGCGUAAAGCGCACGUAGGCUGCUUUGUAAGUCAGAGGUGAAAGCCUGGAGCUCAACUCCAGAAUUGCCUUUAAGACUGCAUCGCUUGAAUCCGAGAGAGGUGAGUGGAAUUCCGAGUGUAGAGGUGAAAUUCGUAGAUAUUCGGAAGAACACCAGUGGCGAAGGCGGCUCACUGGCUCGGUAUUGACGCUGAGGUGCGAAAGCGUGGGGAGCAAACAGGAUUAGAUACCCGCGUAGUCCCUGUCUCUUAUAC
Molecule: ribosomal RNA, 301 nt
Filed under: uncultured bacterium
Lineage: Bacteria
Description: partial 16S ribosomal RNA
Rfam family: Bacterial small subunit ribosomal RNA
Source: RNAcentral